UGAUAUAUAGAUGAAACAUUUUGGAUGGAGUGAAAGCCUUUCAAAUUUUGGAGGUUGGUACUGUAGCUUUUAGAUAUAAUGAACGACCAGGUCAGGAAGCUUCGGUUUUCUUCUACUGUAUUUUGUUGUUUCAACAAACAUCAAACUAAGGCUAGAUUUAUGUUGCAAUCAUUAAGGAUAAAGUUUUUAGUUUUUUUUUUUAAUGCAUAACUUGGUAGAGGAUCAAGCUUUUGGCAUCGUUAUCACGAAUAAUUAGUCUUCUGGUGGAUAGCUUUUAGAUUCCUAACAAUCUGGUGCUUACAACGAAUUGAUUUCUCUCGAUUCAUUCAGAUGGGAAUUGGCUGGUACAGAGCAAUUUCCAGACUUCAUGAAAAUGUGUUUAAGAGUUCUUCACGAAAUUACCAAUGAUUUUGCCGAAAAGAUCUACAAAAAGCAUGGCUUGAACCCUAUAGAUUCCCUAAAAAGAUCGGUGAAGAGUCAAUUUAUUUUAUCAUGUCAAUUAUUUUUGUGUAUUUCAUGAUGCAUCAUGCAUGUCACAUGUCAAUUAUUUUGAAACAGUGGGUGCGAUUGUUGAAUGCUUUUUUGCCAAUGUUAGAGGAGUACUUGAACAAUGGCAUUGUGAGCACAGGAGUGCAUGUGGUCCUUGUCCGUACAUUCUUCCUCACGGAUCAUGCACAACGUUCCACAAAUUAUACAUUCGGUGGCUAAAAUUCUUCGUCUUUCGGAUGAUUUAGAAGGAGCUAAGUGAAGAUGAGAAGGGACUUGAUGGGUCAUAUAUUGAUUGCUUCAUGAGUGAACACCAAGACGUUUGAGCUGAAGAAGCACAAGGGCAUGUCUCCCACUUGAUUUCAUGUGAAUGGAAACGUCUCAAUCGAGAAAUCCUAACCCAAAAUCAAUUGCCAUCGUCAUUUAGAAUGGUGCCUUUGAUGUACCAUUACCGUCCCUCUCCAGUCUACAGGAACAAAUACAAAUGCUGCUUAAUUAAUGCCGAUGCUGCUGGGCUCAUAUAGUUAUUAUUAUGGUCAUGAUUUGCUUCACGAAUAAUUAGACAUGAGAUACCUUGCUCUACCGUCUAAUUAAGCACAUUGAUUACUCAUCGUAAUACGUAUCUUACGCCCUGUUAAUUUGUACCUUUGUUCUUGUCUCCAAUAACUAAAGGAUUUAAUUUUAUAUAAGACAUUAUAAACUAUUAUUCAAUAA
This is a long non-coding RNA of Glycine soja, 1200 nucleotides long. RefSeq lists it as uncharacterized. NCBI's taxonomy places the organism in Eukaryota, Viridiplantae, Streptophyta, Magnoliopsida, Fabales, Fabaceae. The transcript has 2 exons. The record is from RefSeq and is a predicted model, not a curated record.